This 711-nucleotide ribosomal RNA is filed under the name Triticum aestivum (bread wheat). RNAcentral describes it as "partial small subunit ribosomal RNA". Lineage: Eukaryota; Viridiplantae; Streptophyta; Magnoliopsida; Poales; Poaceae. The record is from RNAcentral.
AAAAAUGCUCCACUUAAUAAUCAGUUACUGUCUUCAACAAUUCAGAAUGAUAUUACUGAGUGCUUUGCAGAAGAAGUAUUGAGUUGUAUUUUUAAGGAGCUUGACAAUGGCGUGUUCAGCUUAUUAGUUGAUGAAUGUCGUGAUGUUUCCGACAAAGAGCAAAUGGCAGUGGUUCUACGCUAUGUUGAUACAUGUGGACUAUCAAAUGAGAGGUUUGUUGGUGUUCUUCAUGUGGAGGAAACAACAUUUGCUUAUCUCAAGUCUAAAAUUGAUUUUAUAAUUACAAAGCUUGGCUUGAGUCUACAACAAGUGAGAGGACAAGAUUUCUUUGAUAUCAUAUCAUUAUUGGUGAAUGUCGUUGGAUCAUCUUGCAAGAGAAAGGAUAAACUUAGAGAGAACCAUCGAGAAGAAGACAUGGACAUUGUAAAUGCUAUAGCAGAUGUGGAAUAUGUUAAGCGAGAGCUAGAUAAGCUUAGAUCUCAACAUGGAUGGAAUUCUCUCCUAAGCAAGGUAUGUUCUUUUUGCGACAAGAAUUAUAUCUUAGUUGUGGACAUGGAAAUGGAGUACGUAAAUCCAAAGAAGCCAAGGUAGAGGACUGGCAUUAAUAAUGAGCAUCAUUAUAGAGUUGAUUGUUUUUUUGUUGUCUUGGAUUUAUUAGCAGAACAACUAAAUCGCAGAUUCAAUGAGGUAAACAAUGAGUUGCUAUGUUGU